CUAGAGAUAGGGCUUCUCCUUCGGGAGCAGAGUGACAGGUGGUGCAUGGUUGUCGUCAGCUCGUGUCGUGAGAUGUUGGGUUAAGUCCCGCAACGAGCGCAACCCUUGAUCUUAGUUGCCAUCAUUUAGUUGGGCACUCUAAGGUGACUGCCGGUGACAAACCGGAGGAAGGUGGGGAUGACGUCAAAUCAUCAUGCCCCUUAUGACCUGGGCUACACACGUGCUACAAUGGACGGUACAAAGAGCUGCAAGACCGCGAGGUGGAGCUAAUCUCAUAAAACCGUUCUCAGUUCGGAUUGUAGGCUGCAACUCGCCUACAUGAAGCUGGAAUCGCUAGUAAUCGCGGAUCAGCAUGCCGCGGUGAAUACGUUCCCGGGCCUUGUACACACCGCCCGUCACACCACGAGAGUUUGUAACACCCGAAGUCGGUGA
Molecule: ribosomal RNA, 432 nt
Filed under: Bacillus cereus
Lineage: Bacteria; Bacillati; Bacillota; Bacilli; Caryophanales; Bacillaceae
Description: bacterial SSU rRNA
Rfam family: Bacterial small subunit ribosomal RNA
Source: RNAcentral